Chaetomium globosum CBS 148.51 is the source of this 92-nucleotide transfer RNA. It matches the Rfam family "tRNA". Rfam says of the family: Transfer RNA (tRNA) molecules are approximately 80 nucleotides in length. Their secondary structure includes four short double-helical elements and three loops (D, anti-codon, and T loops). The record is from Rfam. Lineage: Eukaryota; Fungi; Ascomycota; Sordariomycetes; Sordariales; Chaetomiaceae.
GCCCGGCUGGCUCAAUGGCAGAGCGCUAGACUUCUAUGUUCUAAUCAGAACAAGCAAUCUUGAGGUUGUGGGUUCGACUCCCACGUCGGGUG